UACGUAGGGUGCAAGCGUUGUCCGGAAUUAUUGGGCGUAAAGAGCUCGUAGGCGGUUUGUCGCGUCUGCUGUGAAAACGCGAGGCUCAACCUCGCGCCUGCAGUGGGUACGGGCAGACUAGAGUGUGGUAGGGGAGAUUGGAAUUCCUGGUGUAGCGGUGAAAUGCGCAGAUAUCAGGAGGAACACCCGUGGCGAAAGCGGCUCUCUGGGACGGUACUGACGCUGAGACGCGAAAGCGUGGGGAGCAAACAGG
RNAcentral lists this ribosomal RNA (253 nucleotides) under uncultured bacterium. RNAcentral describes it as "partial 16S ribosomal RNA". It matches the Rfam family "Bacterial small subunit ribosomal RNA", at positions 524 to 776 of the family's 1533-position model. The record is from RNAcentral.